AGAGUUUGAUCCUGGCUCAGGACGAACGCUGGCGGCGUGCCUAAUACAUGCAAGUCGAGCGGAAUGAUGAAGAAGCUUGCUUCUUCUGAUUUUAGCGGCGGACGGGUGAGUAACACGUGGGCAACCUACCUUGUAGAUUGGGAUAACUCCGGGAAACCGGGGCUAAUACCGAAUAAACCAUUUUGCUUCAUGGCAAGAUGUUGAAAGGCGGCUUCGGCUGUCACUACUAGAUGGGCCCGCGGCGUAUUAGCUAGUUGGUAGGGUAAUGGCCUACCAAGGCGACGAUACGUAGCCGACCUGAGAGGGUGAUCGGCCACACUGGGACUGAGACACGGCCCAGACUCCUACGGGAGGCAGCAGUAGGGAAUCUUCCACAAUGGACGAAUGUUUGAUGGAGCAACGCCGCGUGAGUGAAGAAGGUUUUCGGAUCGUAAAACUCUGUUGUAAGGGAAGAACACGUACGAGAGUAACUGCUCGUACCUUGACGGUACCUUAUUAGAAAGCCACGGCUAACUACGUGCCAGCAGCCGCGGUAAUACGUAGGUGGCAAGCGUUGUCCGGAAUUAUUGGGCGUAAAGCGCGCGCAGGCGGUUCUUUAAGUCUGAUGUGAAAGCCCACGGCUCAACCGUGGAGGGUCAUUGGAAACUGGAGAACUUGAGUACAGAAGAGGAAAGCGGAAUUCCACGUGUAGCGGUGAAAU
Molecule: ribosomal RNA, 700 nt
Filed under: uncultured bacterium
Lineage: Bacteria
Description: bacterial SSU rRNA
Rfam family: Bacterial small subunit ribosomal RNA
Source: RNAcentral